UACGUAGGUGGCGAGCGUUGUCCGGAAUUACUGGGUGUAAAGCGCGCGUAGGCGGUAGGCCAAGUCUGCUGUGAAAUCGCCCGGCUCAACUGGGCGCGGUCGGUGGAAACUGGUCAACUGAAGGACGGUAGAGGCGAGUGGAAUUCCCGGUGUAGUGGUGAAAUGCGUAGAGAUCGGGAGGAACACCUGUGGCGAAGGCGGCCCCCUGGGCCGGCCCUGACACUGAGACGCGAAGGCGUGGGGAGCGAACGGG
RNAcentral lists this ribosomal RNA (253 nucleotides) under uncultured bacterium. RNAcentral's name for it is "partial 16S ribosomal RNA". It matches the Rfam family "Bacterial small subunit ribosomal RNA", at positions 524 to 776 of the family's 1533-position model. The record is from RNAcentral.